CUCCUGGGUCAGCUCCUCAAUGGCCAGUCGAGAUGGAUGCGUAGCAUUACCCUCCAGGUAUCGAAGCAGACCCUCGAACUCUCCCGCCGCACGCUUCCGGGCCUGCUGAAGCUCCGGCCGGCCCUCCGUCUCCACCUGGGCCACUGUAAGAGCACACCUGUGGGCCCAGGUUGGCGACCUCCCUCUGCAACUCAUCCAGCCGUAACAGGGCUGGGUGCUGCCCAGGGUACGGGCCCCGGGGUCCGGAAUAACCUGGGAAGGGUCCUGGCAUCUGCUGAGUCUGUGGCUGCUGACUGCCAUGAUCCAUUGUCCUCUUCCCACCAUCAAAGGGUUUCCCAAACAGGCUGAAAGAGAAACAGAUAGCAUCAACACUACAGGGAGGGAGUCGAGAUUCUGGAACUGUCCACGGCAGCGACGAUCAUCUUACCAGCAGUAUCAACUAAAACUAUCUUCUGUUCAUGAAGUCUGAAUGCAAUACACUUCUCAUCAUCAUGAUAUGCCAUCAUGAAGAGUGUCUUAUAGCUGAAGAUUAAUAGAUUAAACAGGGACGUAACGUCCCCCAAAUAUGGGUUUCGCAAUGGCUGAUUCUUAAAUUAGCCUACUACAUUUGUU
Molecule: long non-coding RNA, 612 nt
Organism: Rhinichthys klamathensis goyatoka
Lineage: Eukaryota; Metazoa; Chordata; Actinopteri; Cypriniformes; Leuciscidae
Exons: 3
Source: RefSeq, a predicted model, not a curated record